Molecule: long non-coding RNA, 471 nt
Filed under: Olea europaea (common olive)
Lineage: Eukaryota; Viridiplantae; Streptophyta; Magnoliopsida; Lamiales; Oleaceae
Description: long non-coding RNA (OEUR_LNC007630)
Source: RNAcentral
UUACAAGCUUAGUGAUGUAUGCAGGAUCAAACGAGGAGAAACGUGAUGACUCAAUGUCGACCAUUGUAGAUGAAUCUACUGUCUCACCGGAGUCUCUGUCGGAUGCCUGAAAGCUACUACUGCUUGGCAUGGUUGUCAGUAUGUUCAUGAUGAUUCAAGUAGACGACCUAAAUCAAAAAGUGGAAUAAGAUAGAAUAUCAGAAAUAUAGGCAGCCGGGUGGUUUAAGGGUGAUUAUAUAAAAAAGAGUCCAACGACAAUACUGUAAGAAAAAAUUUCUAUGGAUAAUCUGUCUAUUUUAUACAAGGAGAUUACUUGUCACGAAUCAUUUAAUAUCAGGCCUACCAGGAAUCUUACUCGCAUACAAAGCUACAUUUAAGUAAAUAAAUGCGACCUUUUAACAAGUUAAACUUUGUAGAGAAGAUGAAACAACAAAUACAAGGAACCUUCUUCUUCCACUUUCUUUUUGCUCG